GGCGAGUGAAGCGGCAAGAGCUCAAAUUUGAAAGCUGGCCCCCUCGGGGUCCGCAUUGUAAUUUGCAGAGGAUGCUUCGGGAGUGGCCCCCAUCUAAGUGCUCUGGAACGGGCCGUCAUAGAGGGUGAGAAUCCCGUAUGGGAUGGGGUGUCCGCGACCAUGUGAAGCUCCUUCAACGAGUCGAGUUGUUUGGGAAUGCAGCUCUAAAUGGGUGGUAAAUUUCAUCUAAAGCUAAAUAUUGGCCGGAGACCGAUAGCGCACAAGUAGAGUGAUCGAAAGAUGAAAAGCACUUUGAAAAGAGAGUUAAAAAGCACGUGAAAUUGUUGAAAGGGAAGCGCUUGCGACCAGACUCGCCUGCGGGGUUCAGCCGGUAUUCGUACCGGUGUACUUCCCCGUGGGCGGGCCAGCGUCGGUUUGGGCGGCCGGUCAAAGGCCCUCGGAAUGUAACGCCUCUCGGGGCGUCUUAUAGCCGAGGGUGCCAUGCGGCCAGCCCGGACCGAGGAACGCGCUUCGGCACGGACGCUGGCAUAAUGGUCGUAAGCGAC
This 545-nucleotide ribosomal RNA is filed under the name Penicillium sp. RNAcentral describes it as "partial large subunit ribosomal RNA". It matches the Rfam family "Eukaryotic large subunit ribosomal RNA", at positions 88 to 648 of the family's 3401-position model. The record is from RNAcentral. Lineage: Eukaryota; Fungi; Ascomycota; Eurotiomycetes; Eurotiales; Aspergillaceae.